AUCAUUUAAUAAAAUAAGUUUGUAUUUAUUGCUGAAUGAGCUAUUUUUAUAAAAUAGUAUAAGUAACAAUAUUAUUUUCAUUGGGUAUUAGUAGUGCUGACAUCAAAAGUGAAUUUUGAAGCUCAAGUGAAGGAUAAAUCUGAGAAGGCGAAUCUGGGGUUGAACUUGGCAUGGAGAGGCAUUUUUAAUAAUGCUAAGGUAGACUUUCCAGCUAAAUGUAAAUGGUUUAAAGCUUGCGAAAGGGCUGUACUGUGUCACGGAGCUCAGGUAUGGGAUUACAGGCAUAUUACAAUGUAAGUUACUAGAUGUUUGUAAUUUGUUUAAGUUCGUUUUAUUUGUAUUCUCUGAGUUGUUACUAUCGCAUUAGGUAUGAUUUUCAUGGGAGAACAUUGUGUUGGUUAUUUUAUUUGAUUAAUAUAUAUGAGCUUUUGUUCGGAAUUAAUAAAAUUUGAUUUUUAGAUAAUAAUUUGUUCUACGCAUUUUCAAGAUUUGUGUUUGACUGAAAAAAAAAUUAUUAUUGAAUUUUUCCGGCUAGCAAUUGUUCAAUCAAGCUGUAAAUUGUAUGAGUUUUCAUAUAUAUAUAUAUAUAUAUUGUAUUGUGUAAUCUUGAAUAAUAAAGCAUUCUUUCUAUUUAUUCUAUUCUAUUAUCAAUAAUGCAAAAGUUUUCGCUAAUGUGCGAUGCACAAAUUUUCUGUCCUAAUGUCAGUACAACCAGUUUGAAAAAGCAAAGCAAAUCUCAGUAUAGUGAUAUGUAAUUUUUGAAUAGAAUGAUUUAUCAUUCAAACCUAUUUGUAUACAUUAUUAGAAAUUUAAAAGCCUAGAGAUUGCAAUAAAAAUUCAAGUAAAAUUUGAGUUGACAGGUUGUUGAGGAAGCUAAAAAACUUUGAAAUUCGAUAAAUUGGAAGAAAUUAAUGUGAAAUAGUGGGAAGUAAUUUUAGCCAAUAAACCUCACGUGUUAAUUUCAGCAGAACUUACAUAAUAAUGAAACAGGAAAGAAUAAAAAAUCUUAAAUUAUGUAUAAUAUGUAACUUGAGACAAAAAUUACCGCUUCCCAUGCUUGAAUCUGUAUAAUCAGAAUGCUUGAAUCUUAAUAUUCAUUGAAGUGAUUUGAAACAAUUUUUCUUCAUCACAAUAUAUGGGCAAUGCUCAACCAUUUGCAUCAGGCAAAUGCCUAAAAUUGCAUGAUGUCCCAUAAUUUAAAAUGUCAAUAGUCAAGAAAUCACAUUGAAUCAUGAAAUAGUUAACAUAUUUCAAGAAAUUAUUUCGAUCCUCAAAGCUUUUCAAUUACUUGAUAAUAGGAGUAAAAUGAAUGCUUUGAUUACUGCGACCUUCCUUGGUGAACGGGUCCGACCACAUUAUGACAGAGAUGUUCUUGAGAAUUGAAUAGGUUCCUGGAUUCAUGGAUUUGAUAGCUUUUACCACAGCUAAACAGUCGGCAAGUUGAUUUCACCUCCUUCUUC
Long non-coding RNA from Nilaparvata lugens (brown planthopper), 1460 nucleotides. RefSeq lists it as uncharacterized. Lineage: Eukaryota; Metazoa; Arthropoda; Insecta; Hemiptera; Delphacidae. The transcript is spliced from 2 exons. The record is from RefSeq and is a predicted model, not a curated record.